Molecule: ribosomal RNA, 402 nt
Filed under: uncultured bacterium
Lineage: Bacteria
Description: bacterial SSU rRNA
Rfam family: Bacterial small subunit ribosomal RNA
Source: RNAcentral
ACUCCUACGGGAGGCAGCAGUGGGGAAUCUUGGACAAUGGGCGCAAGCCUGAUCCAGCCAUGCCGCGUGAGCGAUGAAGGCCUUAGGUCGUAAAACUCUUUCGCCAGGGAUGAUAAUGACAGUACCUGGUAAAGAAACCCCGGCUAACUCCGUGCCAGCAGCCGCGGUAAUACGGAGGGGUUAGCGUUGUUCGGAAUUACUGGGGCGUAAAGCGCGCGUAGGCGGACUAGUUAGUCAGAGGUGAAAUCCCGGGGCUCAACCCCGGAACUGCCUUUGAUACUGCUAGUCUUGAGUUCGAGAGAGGUGAGUGGAAUUCCGAGUGUAGAGGUGAAAUUCGUAGAUAUUCGGAGGAACACCAGUGGCGAAGGCGGCUCACUGGCUCGAUACUGACGCUGAGGUGCG